UAUACAAAGAUAGAUCUUCUGGCU
Molecule: non-coding RNA, 24 nt
Filed under: Arabidopsis thaliana (thale cress)
Lineage: Eukaryota; Viridiplantae; Streptophyta; Magnoliopsida; Brassicales; Brassicaceae
Source: RNAcentral